AUGCGAGAUGAACACAUCGACAUCGUUGCUGUCCAGGAGACCAUGCGUCGCGAAUUCUCGCUCCCCGAGCUCGAUCGUUUGAGCUCCCACCUCUUUGCGUGGCACUGGCUCCCUUCUAGUGGGAGCUCUGGCCACUCGGGUGGCAUCCUUUUAGGCGUGAAGGAUGCCACAUUCGAGGUGGGCAGUAUGGACUGGGGGGAAUUCUUCGUCAGCAUGGAACUCUUCGAGAGAUCUCUCAACUUCAAAUGGGAGAUCGUCAUUGUCUACGGGCCUGCCGACCAUAGUAGGUCGGCAGCCUUCCUCGAGGAGCUGCAUCAUAAGAUCUCGGCAGCCUCCCUCCCCGUGGUGGUGGGUGGCGACUUUAACCUGCUGCGCGUGGCGGAAGACAAGAGCAACGACAAUGUUUGCUUUGCCAGAAUGCAGAUGUUUAAUGACUUCAUCGCCGACCUCGCCCUUCGGAAGAUUGAUAGGAUUGGUGCGCGGUUCACUUGGACCAAUCGGCAAUCCUCCCCGACCCAGUCCGUGUUGGACAGGGUCCUUGUCUCCCCGGAGUGGGACCUUCGCUGCCCCCUCUCCUCUCUCCGCGCCAUCAAUAGGAUUGGCUCGGACCAUGUCCCCCUUCUUCUCUCCUCUGCGGACGAACGUCCGCCGAUCCCUCCUCGUUUCCGCUUUGAGACCUUCUGGAUCUCCCAGGCAGGAUUCACGGACGCAGUUUGCGCCCGGUGGAUUGAGGCCAGAGCCCACCCCCAUCCCAGGCCUCCCUCGGCGAUUGACACGUGGCACCUUUGUGCGAAACGUGGUAGAAAGUUUAUGAAGGGAUGGGGGUCCAACCUUGGGCGCGGUGCCAGAGAGCGCAAGAAAGCGCUGCUUUCCGUGAUUCAGGCUCUUGACCUCCGGGCUGACUUGGUGGGUCUGUCUCCGGAUGAGUGGCUCGCCCGAUAUGACCUCGAAGACCAACUCUCCGUGAUCUACUCCGAUGAGGAGGCCUAUUGGCGCAUUCGGGGCACCCAGAAGUGGGUCCUGAAGGGUGAUGCGAAUACCGCUUACUUUCAGGCGAUCGCCAACGGCCGCCGUAGACGCAACACCACCCCCCUCCUUUGGGAUGGGGACACCCUUCUUCAGGACCCUCGCGACAUCCGGUCUCAUGUCGACGGCUUCUAUAGGUCCCUUUUCUCUGCCGCUCCUCGGAGCGGCGUUUCCCUCGCCCACGAUUGUUGGGCCGGUAUUCAGUUAGUCUCCAAGGCGGAGAAUGCAGCCCUGACGGCUCCCUUCUCUGAGCAGGAGGUCUGGGAGGCUAUCAAGGGUAUGAAUUCCUCCUCGGCACCUGGCCCUGAUGGCCUCCCUGUUGUUUUCUUCCAGACCUUCUGGAACGUGAUUAAACCAGAGGUCAUGGCCAUCUUUGAAGAAUUCUUUGUGGGUACUAUCGACCUAGGACGCCUCAACUAUGGGAUCAUCUCCCUCAUCCCCAAGGUCCCUGGGGCGUCCGACAUCCGCCAGUUCCGGCCGAUCACGGUCAUUAAUGUGAUCUUUCGGAUCUUGGCCAAAGGGUACGCCAAUAGGGUGACCCUGCUGGCUGACCGGAUUACACAUCCUAACCAGUCGGCCUUCAUUAGAGGAUGA
RNAcentral lists this ribosomal RNA (1620 nucleotides) under Triticum aestivum (bread wheat). Its description in RNAcentral is "partial small subunit ribosomal RNA". The record is from RNAcentral. Lineage: Eukaryota; Viridiplantae; Streptophyta; Magnoliopsida; Poales; Poaceae.